UACGUAGGGUGCGAGCGUUGUCCGGAAUUAUUGGGCGUAAAGAGCUCGUAGGCGGUGUUUCGCGUCGGCCGUGAAAACCUGCAGCUUAACUGUGGGCUUGCGGUCGAUACGGGCAUCACUGGAGUUCGGCAGGGGAGACUGGAAUUCCUGGUGUAGAGGUGAAAUGCGCAGAUAUCAGGAGGAACACCGGUGGCGAAGGCGGGUCUCUGGGCCGAUACUGACGCUGAGGAGCGAAAGCGUGGGGAGCGAACAGG
This 254-nucleotide ribosomal RNA is filed under the name uncultured bacterium. RNAcentral's name for it is "partial 16S ribosomal RNA". It matches the Rfam family "Bacterial small subunit ribosomal RNA", at positions 524 to 776 of the family's 1533-position model. The record is from RNAcentral.